This 214-nucleotide long non-coding RNA is filed under the name Elaeis guineensis (African oil palm). RNAcentral's name for it is "long non-coding RNA (EGUI_LNC029127)". Lineage: Eukaryota; Viridiplantae; Streptophyta; Magnoliopsida; Arecales; Arecaceae. The record is from RNAcentral.
UCUUACUUGAGCCUUGCAUCAACGGAGGAAAAACUUGGUGUUGAAUGUGACAGAAACAACCAUAUCGCAUGUGAUGAUCUAAAUGUGAAGCAUGCAUGCGCAUUUGAGAUGAUGAUAUAGCUAUGAACUGCAAAUGAGAAUGCGUAAGCAUUGCAAGGACUCAUAACUGUCCGCAUUGGGAGAAUAUGGUUAGGUGGAGGACCAAAAAGAUACC